GGGUCAGUAGGUUGGUCGUGCCACCGGUACGUACUGGUCUCACUGAUUCCUCCUUCCUGAAGAACCGUAAUGCCAUUAAUUUGGUGUUGCGGGGAAACAGGACUGUUACUUUGAAAAAAUUAGAGUGUUUAAAGCAAACUAACGCUUGAAUACAUUAGCAUGGAAUAAUGAAAUAGGACGAUCGAUCAUAUGUUGUUGGUUUCUAGGAUUGACGUA
Molecule: ribosomal RNA, 216 nt
Filed under: Glomeromycotina sp.
Lineage: Eukaryota; Fungi; Glomeromycota
Description: partial small subunit ribosomal RNA
Rfam family: Eukaryotic small subunit ribosomal RNA (bases 40-216)
Source: RNAcentral